Molecule: long non-coding RNA, 395 nt
Filed under: Penaeus japonicus
Lineage: Eukaryota; Metazoa; Arthropoda; Malacostraca; Decapoda; Penaeidae
Description: uncharacterized LOC122247470
Source: RNAcentral
CCACCGUCCUUAUUUUUUUUAACCUCGCCAAUCCAACCUUAAUCAAGGGCGUGAGGGCGUGAGAAUAUUCAGCCUGCAACGAGGCACCUGGAAACCCCCUCGAAACGACGCUUAUCUCCAGUACUAUUUCCCGAACGACCUGGACGACCUGAAAGACUUCACUAUCUGCUACAGGUUCAGGUUGCAGAACUUCGUGGAGACAAACGUGCACUUCUCAUACGCGGUCAGUGAGUCAGACUCCAACACCUUCAUGCUAUAUAACCAAGAAACAGUCCUAUUAAGCUUCAUACGCGGAAAGCUGAGUCACGUAGGACCAGAUAAAAUCUUCGAAUUAUAUCCUGAAUCUUGGAACCAUUUAUGUCACGUGGUUGAAGGAUCUCUUUACACCAUCUACC